AAACAUUCUCCUCCUAAGGACACAACUUUUUCUGUUUCUCUUCUUUCUUUCCACAAUCAUUCCAAUCCCAAACCCAAGUAAGAAUCCCGACCUAGUCCUAUCUGAUUUGAAAGUGAAAAUCAGAACUACUCAAGAUUUUAAUCCUGUCGGCUCAUACCUAACACGUUCUCCCCAAGCAUAAUCCGGUAAAAGACCUACCACUCAAAAAUUUAUCAAUUGGCUUGAAAGAAAAGGAUAGGCUGUGGGUGUGGCAAACUGACCAAAAGAAAGAUCAGCUACUUGGAUCAACAAGAGUGGUGAAAGGAGGAAGAUGAUCCAAAUAUGUAUAUGGUGACCAUGAGCAUGCAAGCAAAACACAACCAGAUAUUUGCAAGUCAAGAUUAAGUUCUUAUAGGGUAAGGAAUGAGAUCAUAUCACAACAUGUUUCAACCAAGUUCAAGAAUGCUCUUCAUGAAUUCCAAGUUUGUUUCAGACUUACUUCAAGUUCAAUCAUCAUGCAUCAAAAAGCUAACAACCAGGGCAUUGAUCUCAACUGGUGAAUCAUAGCAAAUCAACAAGGUGUAACUCAUCAUCGCCCCCUAUGCUAAUGCAACAGUCCUACAUGAAACAAUCUAGACUCAAUCCUAAUAUUCAAAUGCAAGCUACAUGAUCACUCUGUUUUUAAAGAUUUUUUCUGAAAAUUUUUCAAAUUUUUAGGGGUUUUCAAUGCACAUAUAUGAAUGCAAAUUAUAUACUAAAAAUUCAAAAUAAGAAAAGAGAACACAACAUCAAAUGUCAUCCCAAACCCUCC
RNAcentral lists this long non-coding RNA (790 nucleotides) under Capsella rubella. Its description in RNAcentral is "long non-coding RNA (CRUB_LNC000708)". Lineage: Eukaryota; Viridiplantae; Streptophyta; Magnoliopsida; Brassicales; Brassicaceae. The record is from RNAcentral.